Hylaeus volcanicus is the source of this 1811-nucleotide long non-coding RNA. RefSeq lists it as uncharacterized. NCBI's taxonomy places the organism in Eukaryota, Metazoa, Arthropoda, Insecta, Hymenoptera, Colletidae. The record is from RefSeq and is a predicted model, not a curated record. The transcript has 4 exons.
GUUCGUCUAAUUUAUGUUUCGAUAAAGAAACACAUCGAAUCCAAUCUACUUCCGCCAGCGAUCGCUAACAUCCCCUUUCAAGUGGGAAACGAAGAGUGAAGUUGGAACGUAGACAAAUUAGAUUAGAGAAUCGCAUGGAAAAUGUUUCCCCCAAGUUCGCGGCUCUCGCAGGUAUUCCCGUUAAUCGAGUUCCCGUAGCGCUUAGAAACGAUCGGUUCUAAGGUAUUUUUAGUCGCAAAAUUUCAACGACGAUUGGGGAGAUAUACAGGAUGGAGGAUUUAAUGUAAUUACUACUCUGCGGAUUUUUGUGCAUUUAUAGAUAAUCUGAACGCGCAAGAAACUAUAGAAUGGACACAGUAACGCAUAAUGCUUGCAAAGUAAAGUAAAUUCCUAUUUAGGUUCAGUUUUUGUAGGCACGUUUACAAAGAUUUUAUUUUUGAUAAUGUCGAGCACAUUAAUAUUUGAUUCGAUUUAAUUAUUUAAUGAUUUGUUUUCCAUUCGGAGUGGAAUAAUCGUUUGUACGUAUAUCGGGAAAGUUUAUUUGAAAAUAUAAUAAUUGGAGAGCCACUCGAGUGGCUUCGCCGAUCAAGGCAUGCCACUCGAUGUAAUUCGAACAUCCGAUAAGAAUAUUACCGUAGAGUAUUUUCUUCGUGCUCGACAUUUUGUAAUUACUAGACCGCGGAUCAUUAUGCAAAAUAAAAUCUUUGUAAACGUGCCUACAAAAACUGAACUUAAAUAAGAAUUUAUUUUACUCUGCAAGGAUUAUAAUAUGAACUUUACUUUCAAUAUUGCACGUUCAGAUUUUCUAUAAAUGCACAAAAAUCCGCAGUUUAGUAAUCACAUUAAAGUAAUUGGAGAGAAAAUAAUUGGAGAGUUGCUUUCAACGAUCGGUUACCCAUUACUCGAGUAUCCUACUCGCCACUAUCGUUACGCUAUACGAUUUACUCUUGCCAAUGGAACGAUCGCACAGUCCACGACAACGCUUUGCCAGCUGUUCCAACUAUUCUUCUUUAUAUCAAGUACCUCGUCGCUAUAAUUGAGUCUAGACCGCUGAUUUUUACGCAUUUAUAGGGAAUUUGAAUGCGCAAGAAAUUAAACAAUACACAGAAUUCAAUUUCCUUAGGUACAUUUGCAAAGAAUUGUUGCAUAAAGAUCCGUAGUCUUAAUAAUAACAAACGAGAUUAUCGCGAGGCUACCUCGAGUAGUAAUUCAAUCAAACUUUCGAGGGCUGCAACAGCUACGCGCUUUAAAGGGCGCGGUACACGACACCGUUUGCCUAACUAUAUAAACUCCAAAACUUGCCCCAUCGUUACGAAUAUCUGUGGCUAAGAGGCGAACUGUAUUAAAUCAAAAUUUUUGAAACUUUGGACAAAUAGAAAGGCAUUCGAAAGACAAGCAACCUGCCCCAUUCCCCAGCCCCGUGGGAUGGAGAGAACAUAGAAAAGUCCAACAAUCUGGAACCUAUUUCCUCUUAUCUUGGCGUGUUCACGCCUCUAGCAGUAUCUUGGACGACUAUCCCUUUAUCGAACACGAUGAAACAACCAACUAUCGUUUAAUUCGAAAGAGUAUCAAGUCUCACAUGGCCUCCACUAUACUCAUCCGUUUGUUGCAAAGAUUUCCUCGACUCCAAACAUCUCCCCGAGCAAUCGCGGAACGGAGCACCGGAAAGCACGUCAAGUUACAUUCGGUCAAGAUUCGAAGCAUCAGGUUGUAGUCACGUUCACCCCCUCUCUCCCUCUCGCUCUAUCCUAGGAACCUGCGUGGUGGUUCGUCGCGCCUCUCCAACGAAAACGCCAACAGACCGAGUCUCG